UGAAAGAAGCAAAACCUUGCAGUGUGAGGGGAUAAGAUUAAGCCAAACCAGUGAAUUUUCCUCUCUGACUUGUGAGUGCUUUCAGUUGAUAUAAAAAUUCACCACUAUAAGACACUGGUACAGAUUUCCCAGAGAAGAUGAGAAUUCCCCAUCUCAGGAAGUGCCCAAGACCAGGCUGGAUGGGGCUUGGAGCAACCUGGGAUUGUGGAAGGUGUCCCUGCCCAUGGCAGGGGGUGGAACAUGAUGAACUUUAAGAUUCCUU
This is a long non-coding RNA of Poecile atricapillus (Black-capped chickadee), 262 nucleotides long. RefSeq lists it as uncharacterized. The transcript has 3 exons. Lineage: Eukaryota; Metazoa; Chordata; Aves; Passeriformes; Paridae. The record is from RefSeq and is a predicted model, not a curated record.